AUGAUCAGGGGUGACCUCUUAUGAUCUGAGCAUCUGGACACCAUACGGUUGUUAAACUACUUUUGAAUUGACAUUAAGACACAUUUACUUGGGCAAUUAAUGACAUCUGGAAGGAGUAUGAGGUGGAGAAGCUGGAGAUAGUAGACAUGGAAAAGCAAAAGGCAGAAAAACUUGUUUGAGAAAGGGAGGUAGAAUGUGAAGAAGAAUCUAGGCAGCACUUAAUGCGUGUUCAGGAGGAACAUACUGCGCUGCAGGAACAUGACAAUAUGGAACAAAGUCUAAAAGCUAAACACAGUGAAGAGCUAAGGCAGAUCCAACUUCAAGCUGAAAACAAGUUGAGAGAUAGUUGGAAGAGGCAAUCAGGGAGAUUGAGCAACUGAAGAACGAGAGAGAGAGUUUGCGUGCAGAACUGAGGGUAUUGUGGGAAUUUGCAGACUCAAUUGACACAAGCACAAGAAGACGUUCAGCUAUUGAGAACCAGUGUUGGGACUUUGGGAACUCAAUUGACACAAUUACAAGAAAUCAUUCAGGAAUGGAACACCGAAGUUGGGAAUUUGCACACACAUUCUUGAAUGCUUUCUUGUACGUGUUCCCAACACUGGUUCUCAGUACCUGAACGUCUUCUUGUGCUUGUGUCAGCUGAGUCUGCAAAUUCCCAAAAUGCCUCGGUUCUGCAUGCAAACUAUCUCUCCUUCAGUUGGUCAAUCUUCCUGACUGCCUCUUCAUGCAGCUUUAAGCUCAAACUUAGUUGGGUCUAAUAUGCCUAAGUUACUGGACUGAGAGCUUUGAGGCUUCAGCAUGAAGAUGAGAUUAAGACGCUUCAGGAGGACUUGGAUCUUCCAAAGUACUUAUCUUCCCCAUGUUCUUUCUGAAUUUCUUUUUU
This is a long non-coding RNA of Rosa rugosa (rugosa rose), 883 nucleotides long. RefSeq lists it as uncharacterized. Lineage: Eukaryota; Viridiplantae; Streptophyta; Magnoliopsida; Rosales; Rosaceae. The record is from RefSeq and is a predicted model, not a curated record. The transcript has 3 exons.